This 494-nucleotide ribosomal RNA is filed under the name uncultured bacterium. RNAcentral describes it as "partial 16S ribosomal RNA". It matches the Rfam family "Bacterial small subunit ribosomal RNA", at positions 28 to 507 of the family's 1533-position model. The record is from RNAcentral.
GACGAACGCUGGCGGCGUGCUUAACACAUGCAAGUCGAACGGAAAGGCCUGCUUUCCCUUGUGGCUUGCGGGUACUCGAGUGGCGAACGGGUGAGUAACACGUGAGUGAUCUGCCCCCAACUUGGGUAUAAGCCUGGGACACUGGGUCUAAUUCCCGAUAGGACUGCAGGGUGGUGCCUGUGGUGGAAAACGAUUUUCUAGUGGUUGGGGAUGAGCUCGCGGCCUAUCAGCUUGUUGGUUGGGUAAUGGCCUACCAAGGCGGAGACGGGUAGCCGGCCUGGGAGGGGGGACGGCGGAAUUGGGACUGGGACAAGACCCAGACGGCAACGGGAAGCAGGAGAGGGGAAGAAUGGAGAAUGAGCGGGAGGGAGAAGCAGCGAGGGAGCGAGGGAGAUGACGGGCUUGGGGAUGUAAGCUACUAGCGACCGAGAGGAAGGCAAGUGGUUGGAAGGGUGGUGACGGUAGUGGUAGAAGAAGCAACGGCUAACUACGUG